Molecule: RNA transcript, 2499 nt
Organism: Syzygium oleosum
Lineage: Eukaryota; Viridiplantae; Streptophyta; Magnoliopsida; Myrtales; Myrtaceae
Gene name: heat stress transcription factor A-3
Exons: 4
Source: RefSeq, a predicted model, not a curated record
CGACACCACACAAGAAAAGACACGCAGGACACGAACAGAGAGACAAAGAUAACACAAAAUCCUAACGGGCGUAACUACCUGGAAGCUCUCCCCAGGUUCAGGUCAAGGUCGGUGCCCCCUCUAUCCCUCCCUCUCUCUAAUCAAUUCGAAGCAAACGCAACACGCGCCACCGUAGCCCCACCACCAACCCCCUCCCCUGCCGUCACAUGGAGCGCAGCUUCCCUUCACCGCCUUACUGUUUCUCUCCUUGGAUUUUGCCCGAGCACCUUGUCGGCAUGUGCCCCCCAUACCCAUAUAAGCUCCCCUGCACGCUCCGCUCGCCGACCACUUUCGUCUCUCCGUCGUCGCACACAUUUGGUCGCUCAGUGUGUGUCUCUCUUUCUCUGUCUCGUGCUUCUCGCUGACAAAGGCGAAAGAAUCGAUGGACCCAGAGGACGAGCGAUGCCCGGAACCUCCUCCUGGUUCUUCUGGGCGAGGAGGAGGUGAAGGCAAGGCUCCUGCUGGUGCUGGGUCAUCGUCGUCGGCUGCGUUGGAGUCCGAAACGCUGCCGUCCGUGAUGGGUUCGGAGGCAUUGCCUUCUGGGUCGUUCUUCGAUAUGGAGAACGUCGGCUUCUCGGGUUCUCUUUCGCCUCUCAUGGAGUUCGAGGCAUUCUCUCCUCUGAACCCGUCCUCGUCAUUCGACUUGUUCGAGUCAAAACCGGAACCUGUUUUUGAAACAACCCCUGUCGGGCCUCCUUUUAGUACUAGUGCAGCAGAAACAGAGGAGGCGGGAUUUCCGGUGAGAGGCGGUGACAUGGAGACUGCUGUCGGUGCUCCUCAGCCUCUGGAGUGCCUGCAGGGUACUCCACUCCCGCCGUUUCUUUCGAAGACCUUCGAUUUGGUCGAUGACCGAUCGUUGGAUCCGAUUAUAUCAUGGGGGUCGAGCGGCGAGAGCUUUGUGGUGUGGGACCCCGUCGAAUUUGCCAGGAUUAUACUCCCACGGAAUUUCAAGCACAACAAUUUUUCCAGUUUUGUUCGGCAGCUAAAUACUUAUGGUUUCCGCAAGAUUGACACUGAUAGAUGGGAGUUUGCUAAUGAAGCUUUUCAGAGAGGGAAGAGGCAACUUCUAAAGAACAUUCAAAGACGCAAGUCGCUCCAGACACAGCAGAUUGGAAGCUACUUUGGACCUUCCAGUGAAGCAGCGAAACCUGGGUUGGAAGUUGAAGUGGAGAUGUUAAGGAAGGAGAAGAGUAUGUUGAUGCAGGAGGUAGUUGAACUGCAGCAGCAGCACCGUGGAACAGCUCAUCAUGCAGAAGCAGUAAAUCAGAGACUUCAAGCUGCUGAGCAAAGACAAAAGCAAAUGGUUUCGUUCAUGGCAAAAUUGCUUCAAAACCCCUCCUUUGUAGCGCACUUGAGGGAAAAGAAGGAACAGAGAGAAAUCGGUCCUUCGAGGGUGAGGAGGAAGUUUCUCAAGCAUCACCAGCCAGAGGAUGUUGAAGCAGUUCCCUCCACGGAAGGGCAGAUAGUCAAGUACAGACAUGAUACGGGGACUCUUGAUGCAUCUUCCGGAUUUCCUACUUUGAAUCCUAUUCCUGUCGAAAACCCUAAACAUCUCCCUGAAGUUUCAACUGGCACAGGUUUAGGUGAAGAGAACAUUCCGCUUCAAGUUGAGGAUGUCAUGUCAAGAGAAACAUCGGCGCCGCGUGAUAUAGCAUCUGGACACGGCUAUCUCAAAACUCCGGAUCUUCUCAGAGAGGGGUCAUCAAGCUUGGGAGCUGAUCUUCAAUUCAAGGGGAAGAGUGUCAUUGAGAGCCCAGGGCAAGAGUUCACUCCUCAGUACUUUGUCUCUUUCCCAGAGGAUUUGGCAGAGAGGAAGAAGUUUCCAGAUUUCUCAUCGGGGUUCGAAAGCAUGAUUAAGCAAGAGGAGGUAUGGGGCAUGGGUUUUGACGUGAGUGCUGGUAUGUCUAGUUCUAGCGGUGUGGUAUGGGGUAAUCUUGCUCAAUAUGAUGCACUGGAAGUGGGAGUUACUGGUGGGCUAUCUGAUACAUGGGAUUUAGGAUCAAUGCAAGCUUCUGGGCGUUCAGACAUUGAUAAGUGGCCGGCCGAUGAAUCAACCUAUGACGAGCGUGAGGGUCGAGCUGGCCAGCAUAAAGAUGAUAUACAUAAUAAAAUGGAUCCAUAGGUACCUGAACUUGGAUGGAGAUGGACACUUCCGCAGGAGUUUGGUUGCUUUUUCUGAACCUGGACUGCACGGUAAUGGUUCAUGAACUUGGUUCUGAUGAAGAUGAUCUUUCAAUCUAGACAAAUUUCCUGAUCAGAAUCAUGUGUUACGGCGUAAGUGCAGCUGCAUCAAUGAAGAUCAUACCUAUUUGGUCCACCUUUGAGUAUGGCACUUUGCAGUUUACAUGCCCACCAUUGUUUAGAUGCAUAUUUUUGUGUAGCUCGACAGAGAGCGAAAAAAAGCAGUCUGCAUACUCACUAUAUUCGAUAUAAAUUUAUUUGGACUUACCCUCUUACUGA